CCCUUAGAUGUUCUGGACCACACGCGCGUUACACUGAUGAAGCCAGCGAGUAUAUCGCCUUCACCGGAAGGUGCGGGUAAUCUUGUGAAACUUCAUCGUGCUGGGGAUAGACCAUUGCAAUUAUUGGUCUUGAACGAGGAAUUCCUAGUAAGCAUGAGUCAUCAACUCGUGCUGAUUACGUCCCUGCCCUUUGUACACACCGCCCGUCGCUACUACCGAUUGAAUGGUUUAGUGAGAUCUCGGGAUUGGAGACGUUGCGCCGCAAGGCACAUCGUCCUCGAGAACUUGAUCAAACUUGAUCAUUUAGAGGAAGUAAAAGUCGUAACA
This 327-nucleotide ribosomal RNA is filed under the name uncultured eukaryote. RNAcentral's name for it is "partial 18S ribosomal RNA". It matches the Rfam family "Eukaryotic small subunit ribosomal RNA", at positions 1470 to 1796 of the family's 1831-position model. The record is from RNAcentral.